AGGGUUUGAUUAUGGCUCAGAUUGAACGCUGGCGGCAGGCCUAACACAUGCAAGUCGAACGGUAGCACAGAGGAGCUUGCUCCUUGGGUGACGAGUGGCGGACGGGUGAGUAAUGUCUGGGAAACUGCCCGAUGGAGGGGGAUAACUACUGGAAACGGUAGCUAAUACCGCAUAACGUCGCAAGACCAAAGAGGGGGACCUUCGGGCCUCUUGCCAUCGGAUGUGCCCAGAUGGGAUUAGCUAGUAGGUGGGGUAACGGCUCACCUAGGCGACGAUCCCUAGCUGGUCUGAGAGGAUGACCAGCCACACUGGAACUGAGACACGGUCCAGACUCCUACGGGAGGCAGCAGUGGGGAAUAUUGCACAAUGGGCGCAAGCCUGAUGCAGCCAUGCCGCGUGUAUGAAGAAGGCCUUCGGGUUGUAAAGUACUUUCAGCGAGGAGGAAGGCGUUGUGGUUAAUAACCGCAGCGAUUGACGUUACUCGCAGAAGAAGCACCGGCUAACUCCGUGCCAGCAGCCGCGGUAAU
This 527-nucleotide ribosomal RNA is filed under the name uncultured bacterium. RNAcentral's name for it is "bacterial SSU rRNA". It matches the Rfam family "Bacterial small subunit ribosomal RNA", at positions 8 to 524 of the family's 1533-position model. The record is from RNAcentral.